Equus caballus (horse) is the source of this 561-nucleotide long non-coding RNA. Lineage: Eukaryota; Metazoa; Chordata; Mammalia; Perissodactyla; Equidae. The record is from Ensembl.
GGAAGAGGAACAGAUGGUAGCAUGCCUCCAGGCUCGUGAAAAGGGGAGAGCCGAGAGUCCCAGGGAAUCAGGAAUACACACAAAUCCAGCGGAAGUUUGGACCUUGGGGCUUUCAGAGGCGUGGAGGUCAAGAAGCACUCAGAGGUGCCUCACCAGACCAACUGCCCAGCAGCACCUGGCGAAUGUCGGAAGCAUUCUGCUUGGAGGUUUUACACUUAGAAGGUCCGUAUCUGAUUCCCGCAGAAUGAUAGACACCUUACUGCUUCCACCCACCCCUGUGAGAACAUCAGGUCUGGUUUCAAGGCUUCUGUCGCCAAGGUUUCUAAUCUGCAGGAUGCAAGACAGUCACUGGUUUCCUGAAGAAGGCAGGACAGCAUCUCCUCCUUCCCCCUGCCUUAUGUGCAGUUCUCGGUGUUCAGUCUCACAAAGGCUUGUGCAAAUCCUCCAGAUCCUAUCAGCCUCAAACCCUUCUCUCCAUAGGAGUCCCAAACCAGUCUAAGGACCAGUUAGGGACAGCAGGCACCAUUGGUACCCUGGAUCAUCUUCCCUAGCACAAGCCCC